This 222-nucleotide long non-coding RNA is filed under the name Gorilla gorilla gorilla (western lowland gorilla). RNAcentral describes it as "lncRNA (ENSGGOG00000044685.1)". The record is from RNAcentral. Lineage: Eukaryota; Metazoa; Chordata; Mammalia; Primates; Hominidae.
CGGAGGUCCAGAAACAGGGCUACCCGCCAAUCGCGUGGUGACAGAGGACAGAGGGUCCUAAGGACAGAUGAGGAUGUUCUUGAUUUUGUACUCCAAGUAAAUGUAUUUAAGAAUGGUUACCCCAACCUCUGAGAAAUCUGAAAGUGGCAGCUGGAAAUGCCAGACAGGAUAUGAGCAAAGUUACCCAGCAGCACCAGCGGGAACUGAGCCAAUGAAAACCCU